This is a long non-coding RNA of Pseudophryne corroboree (corroboree frog), 1189 nucleotides long. RefSeq lists it as uncharacterized. The record is from RefSeq and is a predicted model, not a curated record. NCBI's taxonomy places the organism in Eukaryota, Metazoa, Chordata, Amphibia, Anura, Myobatrachidae. The transcript is spliced from 3 exons.
UGCACACAAUUCAUCAAUGUUACUGUUUUAUUUAGUGCAACACCAUGUUUAUUUUUAUAGAUAAACCAAAUUAAGUAAUCACGAAGAUCUUAACCAGAAAUUAGUUUACUUUACAAUACGUACAAGAUGGUUACAGUACACUAAGGUUUUGCAGUUAUCAAUGUUUUUUACAAGUAUGGUAAUAAUGUUGUUAACACUUUUUCAACAGUACGCCAGACCAGCCGCCCAGACAGGCCCCAGCCAACUGAUGAGGAUGCUGGGAUUGCAGGUUGUACUUCUGUAAGCCGACCUCCUCUAAGGCGCCCAUCACAGGGCUCGGCUAACUUACCCAGGAGGCCAAGUAAGACACGACGUCUUGAAUCCGAAUCUGCGGCUCCAUCUUCCCCACCCAGGCGGCGCAUCUCCGCAGUCUCACCCCAGCCACCACAAGCACUAUUGGCUAGUCCACAAAGUGAUGAGCCUCGAUCACCUCAGUUAUCUGAACCAACCUUGAUGCCCGACGUUGGCCAGCAGGAACAAGACCAACAGGCCACCUACACACUAAACCUAACACCCGUUAUCCCGACCCAGCCAACCCAGCCGCAGGAUAUCCCCCAAGCCUCCAUUACUCCACAACUGCUCCAAGCUCCACCCCAGCAACAAGUACCCGAUGACUUUUGGUCCAGUUGGACAACCCAACAGACCCAAAACAAUGCCUGCCUGACCGCCCACACCCAACACCUUGCCAGUCUGCCCCAUCAUCUGCCGCGCAUUAGUCGCAACUCGGGCAGACUGAUUGUCCAAGUAGGUCGAAUAGCCACUUCUAUGGAUCAAAUUCGGGCCGACAACAAUCAAAUGCUGGCUCAUUUGACGCGCAUCAUUGAUGAGCAACAACGCCAGCUGCAAACACUCAUCCAACUGAUACAACACAAUCAGGUUGUGAAUAAGUCAUUGUCCAGGAUUGUGGCCAGCCACACUGCAACCAACAACCAACUGAAUGCCAGCAUCCAUAAUUUAAGCCAGAACAUCUCUUUGAUGGCAGCACAACAAGUGAGCUCCAGCUCAGGAACUACGACCCCUAGCCAAACGCCAGUAACCUCCCCUGUUCGUCGAUCCUCCCGAACACGUGCCAGUACAAAGCACGGCACCCAGCACACACAAGCGAAAAAAAUAAAAAAACUUUUGUGUAACACAAUAAAAAUUUGCUUCU